This 1059-nucleotide long non-coding RNA is filed under the name Pogona vitticeps (central bearded dragon). Its description in RNAcentral is "lncRNA (ENSPVIG00000012410.1)". The record is from RNAcentral. Lineage: Eukaryota; Metazoa; Chordata; Lepidosauria; Squamata; Agamidae.
ACUCUAAGCAACUGCUAAACAUGCAAGUGUGUGCAUAAUAAGGGCAUAUAGUUUUCAAAUAUGUCAAAAACAGGAGACCAUGCUAUUUGCAAUGUGAGUGCCAUAAAGGCAAAUAAAAAGUCGAUUUCCACCUGAGCAGAACAUGUAAGAAGAGACUUGCUGAGAGUGCAACUACAUGAUCAAAUACCAUGAGGUUUCUUCCACUUAUAAAAUGUGGCUGCCUUCAGAGGGUGAGAUCUUGAGAUCCAAAAGGGGAAGCCUAAGGACUGAGGAGGGUGUAGAGUCUAAUAAAGAACACUGGAGUUGAAGGUAUUUGAUAUUAAAGUUAUUCUUUGGUUAACUAGUUGAAGAUAUUCUUCACUCUUGCUUCUGGCUCUUUGUCCUAGCAUUUCCUGGCAGAAUCCCCUUCCCUUGAACAUCUGCCAACUCCUGGUAGUGCCUGGGCACAUGGCAAUUUGCCAGCGUGGCUGUGCCUGGCAUCUCAGGGUAGAGCCUGAAGGACAUGGGUGCUCAGAUAAAAUGUGGUGCAAUCUGCUGAGAACCAUUUAUGGUACAUGGUAAUAUCAUAUUUUUCUUUAUGUUAAAUAUUGUAAAGCCUACUUUUGUACAGCCUGUGUCCUUUUCCUACUUGGGCAAUGACUAAUAGUUUUAAGCAAAUUAGUCAAUGUGAAUAGUGGGAGUGAAGGGUAAAAGCUCUCCAAUGACGUGGAAAAUGUCCUUGAUUCUGGCCUUUUUGUCCUAUGAUUUUAUUUCUUGACAUGGAGAUCUGGUUGCUUCCAUUUCAGCAGAGUUUGGGAAAAAGUGCUUUUUUGAUGAGUACUCCCCCAUUCCCCAGAAUCUAAAUAAGGGACUCUGAGAGAUAUUACCAUUUACCAUAAAUGGUAUUCCCUGGAUCGUAUCACAUUUUAUUGAGCUGCUACAUUGCCAACCCACUGCAUUCAAAUGUUUCCUGUAUUACCUUCCUGGUUCUUUUUUUCCUUUCAGACUCAAUUUGUGGCUAGUUUUUCAAUCUAUCUAAUAUUAUCCAAUAAAGUGGUAGAUUUUAGGGAUCUUUAAUCA